Molecule: small nucleolar RNA, 83 nt
Organism: Mobula hypostoma (lesser devil ray)
Lineage: Eukaryota; Metazoa; Chordata; Chondrichthyes; Myliobatiformes; Myliobatidae
Product: small nucleolar RNA SNORD103/SNORD85
Exons: 1
Source: RefSeq, a predicted model, not a curated record
UCUGGCAAUGAUGACACACUUGCCCUCACUGAGAAGAAUAUUCAAUAAUGAAAACUUAAUUCUGUACUCAAAUCUGAGCCGGA